This 497-nucleotide ribosomal RNA is filed under the name uncultured bacterium. Its description in RNAcentral is "partial 16S ribosomal RNA". It matches the Rfam family "Bacterial small subunit ribosomal RNA", at positions 28 to 507 of the family's 1533-position model. The record is from RNAcentral.
GACGAACGCUGGCGGCGUGCCUAAUACAUGCAAGUUGAGCGAUGAAGAUUGGUGCUUGCACCAAUUUGAAGAGCAGCGAACGGGUGAGUAACGCGUGGGGAAUCUGCCUUUGAGCGGGGGACAACAUUUGGAAACGAAUGCUAAUACCGCAUAACAACUUUAAACAUAAGUUUUAAGUUUGAAAGAUGCAAUUGCAUCACUCAAAGAUGAUCCCGCGUUGUAUUAGCUAGUUGGUGAGGUAAAGGCUCACCAAGGCGAUGAUACAUAGCCGACCUGAGAAGGUGAACGGCCACAAUGGGACUGAGAAACGGCCCAAACUCCUACGGGAGGCAGCAGGAGGGAAUCUUCGGCAAUGGACGAAAGGCUGACCGAACAACGCCGCGUGGGUGAAGAAGGUUUUCGGAUCGUAAAACUCUGUUGGUAAAGAAGAACGAUGGUGAGAGUGGAAAGCGCAUCAAGUGACGGUAACUACCCAGAAAGGGACGGCUAACUACGUG